Molecule: long non-coding RNA, 2060 nt
Organism: Eleginops maclovinus (Patagonian blennie)
Lineage: Eukaryota; Metazoa; Chordata; Actinopteri; Perciformes; Eleginopidae
Exons: 2
Source: RefSeq, a predicted model, not a curated record
CCUUGAGUACCAUUGUAUUUAGUAUCUGUCAGCCUCUUCUUUUUUUGUGUCCCUCUAUGUGCAGAGUCUUUGGAGGAAAAAAGAUGGGGUGAUUGAAAAUGACUUGCUCUUCCUUCACGCCACCACACACUCAGCCUGAGUCUCUACAUCUCCACCCACCAUCUGGACCCUCCAGGGCUCCUCUCCGCCCCAUCCCUGGCCCGUGCCUAGGCUCCCCUCUCUCUCCUGGGGCUGAGGCGCUGCCGUGUCUGGACACUGGCCCUGGAGCUCUGAAAUUACACAAAAAAAGGCUUCAACCACAGAAUCUUCACUGAAAGUCUCUGGAAUGUUCUGGAGGUGCUUUGAUCGCCUGCCUGCCUCUCUCACUGCACGCAACACAAGCAUCCCUGCAUGCAACAUGCACUUUAUCAUUAUUGAAUUAUAUGAUGUAAAAUACAGUCAUUUGGUGCUGCGUGCAACAUGCACUCAUGACACACUGGUUCCCCUCUCACAAAUACACGAGCGAUGGAUGUCAACACAUUCUGUUACACCCCACCCUAAUGUGGCCUUGUAGGGCUAGCAAAAUUCCACCAUUGACCCAAACAUAACAGAGAAAGACACCUUCAAAAUAUUUAAAUCUAUAAGAUUUAUUGCAAUCAAACAUUUGAAAUAUACCAAUAUCAAUCAUAGGCUGAGAGGCAGAAACACAGGAGUCCCCACGCCAAAGACCUCUCUCUUCUGCUGCUGGAACUGGAGCUUUUAAGACCUUCCUGCAGGUGCACCUCGUCACGCACCGCGUUGCAGCAACACAGCACACCUGGGCCGAGGGAACACACACAGCCAUGACACCCCCACCUUUAAAACAAUGAGUAAAUAGAAACCCCAUGAUAUUAUGAUAUAAAAACAAAUGUGCAUUAGAUCACACAGGUGUUUCAGGCCGGGGGGAGUUACAUGCACACAAACCCAUACAGCACACUACAGCUGAGGGAAAACCUCACAAAGCAUCAUAGGGCCUCUUAUAAAUGUAAAGCCCUUGUACUGCUGAUCAUGUCUAAAGAGUGCCAGAAACAUUUAAAGGUCUCCUAUUAUGCACUUUUUCAUCAAAAUAUUAUAGGUCUAAGAUAUUGACAAAAACAUCGGUGCGAAAUGCCAAUCAGAUCGUUCAUUGUAGCAUGCCCCCUCUGUUUCAGCCCUGUUCCAAAAGUGCUGAUUUUCUAGCUUUAAAUGCAAAUGAGCUGCUGCUCACUACGACCCUCUGAAAAGUGUUUGGUAAAAAAACAACAACACAAUGGUGCUAUAGGAGGAGAUUCAGGUGAUAAGGGGGGUGGGUGUUACCUUAGUUGGUUAUUGACUAAUGGUUGCACAACCCCAAAAACAUUUGUGACAUCACAAAAUGAGGAAAUCUGAUUAGCUAAUUUUCAGAUUUCAGGUUUUUAUAUACAUGGAUCAAGACAAAAAGAGAGAGAAUCUUUUUUCCUGAAACUUUCUGAAUCUUCUAACACAGGGGGACACAUAUUUAUGCAUGAAAAAGUGGAUUUUGCACAAUAGGUGAACUUUAAACUGGGAUUUUCCCUGCAUGAUACUUUAGCGUAAACCGAAUACCGAAGAUCACCAUGUUGCAAAGAGAUUUAUUCUGUCAACUAAUUUAAAGUGAGGUCCAGAUUAACUGUAUAUUGGAUUGUCUUCAUAAUGUAUAUGCAGCACUUUAGUGAACACAUAGAGCUGAUUAAAUGUGCUCCGAAUCUGUUUUGUUGUAUUCUAAUUCUCAUGCAGCUCAACACAUUUACCCAUCUUUCAGCCAUCAUGUUUUUAAAUCCACUCAGGCUGUGAUUCAGUGAGGGAGUGUCGGAAGUUCAUGCCCUUGCCAAAGGGAACACAUUCUUUGCUUAAAAGUUGCCUUUGUCCCUGAUCCUAUUUUUAAUAUGCUUCUUUUAUGAAUGUUUGUCCACACCCCAAGUGAAUGAGAAGCAAUAAAAAGGAACAUGAUGUAAAACCGCACAUCAAUGUUCAAGACAAAACAAGUCAUUCGUUUUGAAGAUCAAAGGGAAAUUGAACUAUUAAAGAGUGGGAAACAGAAAUGA